Molecule: long non-coding RNA, 2482 nt
Filed under: Homo sapiens (human)
Lineage: Eukaryota; Metazoa; Chordata; Mammalia; Primates; Hominidae
Description: HSALNT0381793
Source: RNAcentral
GCAAUUCUUCUGCCUCAGCCUCCCAAGUAGCUGAGAUUACAGGCUGAAGCGGAUGCAGAGAUGAAAAUUUGGGUGCAAGAUGUUUAUUAAGGAUCAACAUCUGUGGCCUGGUGUGGUGGCUCACACCUGUAAUCCCAGUACUUUGGGAGGCCAAGGGGAGUGGAUCACCUGAGGUCAGGAGUUCAAGACCAGCCAGGCCAACAUGGAGAAACCCAGUCUCUACUAAAAAUACAAAAAAAUUAGCCAGACCUGGCGGCACGUGCCUGUAAUCCCAGCUACUCAGGAGGCUGAAGCAGGACAAUCACUUGAACCAGAGUGGCAGAGGUUACGGUGAGCUGAGAUGGUGUCACUGCACUCCAGCCUGAGCAACAGAGUGAGACUCAAUCUCCAAAACAAAACAAAAAAACAACAUCUGUGAAGGGAAGAUGGAUUGGGCAGAGAGCGAAAUUGAACUGUGAUGCAGGCCCGAUCAAGUACCCACCAACUCAGUAGGGCACGCAGGAGCUUGAAGCACCCACUGGAAUAUUUUCAUGGAGGACUAAAAUGGCUGGGUCUCUAUGCUCCCGCGUAGCUCAGUUCCCAGAGGCAGCUGCCCUGGGGAGGGCAGGGUGUUGGGUGGGGCAACUCUCUGCAGCUGAGGCAGACCCUGAAGGGCUGACAGCUGGAGGCCAUCUGCCCAGCUCACUCCUGCAGCUGGAUGGAAAGGCCUUCCUGGAAGAAGGGGGUCCGGGCAAUGCAUUUCCACAUCUACUACACCUAUAUCCCCUGACUCUCAGAGAUCUAGCAACUUGCCUGCAAACUUGAGCCUUCCUCACUACAAGUUAGGCCUUGGCAUCUUUUGCCCAGACUACUACAGUCCUCACUGGCUCCACCAGCCAUCUCCUCCCACCCCCACCCAUCCUCUGUGUGGUCCACACACAGGUCUGAUCUUGUCACUUGCCAGUGCAUGAACACUAAGGGACCUCUGUUGUGGAAAUCAGACUAGUUUCAGAAACUCUGAAGUGGGGCUGUAACCAUUUAGUGAAGCUCUGCACACAGGAAGAGAUGCGGGGAGCAACCUCCACUAAGAGCCAGGGACUCCUUCACCUCAGUUCUUAACCUGGGAGUUUUAUGGGUUCAUUUUGAUACAUGAUGUGAUCCAGGGCCUGUACCCGCUUCUAGAAGUUAUCUUGGGAUCCACAGGAGAAAGACUUCGCACUUUUUAAGUAUAUAAACCUGCAGACUAUAUGUGAAUAGUUUUAAGUACAGUAUAUAUCUUAAAAAGGGGCCAGGCACAGUGGCUCACGCCUGCAAUCCCAGCACUUUGGAAGGCCAACCCAGGCAGAUCACGAGGUCAGGAGAUCAAGACCAUCCUGGCCAACAUGUUGAAACCCCAUCGCUACUAAAAAUACAAAAAAAAAUUAGCUGGGCGUGGUGGCAUGUGCCUGUAAUUCCAUCUACUUGGGAGGCUGAAGAGGAGAAUCGCUUGAACCAGGGAGUCGGAGGCUGCAGUAAGCCGAGAUCGCACCACUGCACGCCAGCCUGGCAACAGAGGAAGACUCCGUCUCAAAGAAAAGGGAGGGAGUAACUGUAAGUAAAUAUCCAUUGGAAAAGUGAUUUAAAUAUACAUUUUAGAAACAAGGAGAGUCACAAUUAGCAAGGUAAAGUAGACUCUGAAAGGACAAGCAGAUGUGCAUUUCCAAAGGCGGAGUCUAUUCUGUUCAGUUUCUACUUUAUGAGACAUCUAAUUUUUGGUGAUGGGGUGGGGAACAAUUUCCAAUGCAUCUGCACCCCUCCCCCUCCUGCCCCUCAGGUCACAGCUCCCCCUCCUUCCACGCAUCCUGUGCUCCAGCCACGCUACUCCCCAAGGUGGGGGGUCCCUCUCCACACCUCUGGGCUAUUGCUUAGGCUGUGCUGUUGGCUUGGACUGCCCUUUUCCCCACUUCUGUCUCCUCUGUGAGCUGCUUCCUCCCCUUCCUUUCUUCCUUCCCCCAGGAAGGAGUCCCAUAGUUGUUUGCACCCAUCCAUUACAGCGUGGACUGCACCUUAUUACAGUUAUUGGUGUGCAAGCCUUUCUCCCCUACUAGACCCUAAGCUUGGGGAAGGGGAGGGAACUGUGGGCUCUCAUCUCUGUACCCACUCCUGGCAGGCCACCUGGCACAAAAUCCACUCAGGAAGUAUUCACUGUCCGUGAGUUGAGCCAUUGUGCUUACAUAGCACCAAUCUGUGACAGCUUGUCUGACCUGGAAUUUCACCCUGUAUUUCCCAAAGAAAAGAUAUGAGUACUGGAUUUGAGAGAUAUAUUUCAACAUUUCAAUUUUAUUGUAUUUAAGAACUUUUUUUUCUCAGAAAAAAAUUACAAAAUUCAUUUUAUAAAAUUCAUCCAGAUAAAUGAUUUCAGUCCCAUAUGGUACAAAAUACCUUUCCCAAGGAAUAGAUGAUUUAAUUUAAAGCCUCUGUUUUCUUUUCCUUUUAUAACUUUACUUUUGUUUUUUUUCACAGA